GCUGGGCGCAGUGUGCACACCUGUAAUCCCAGCAGCUCAGGAGGCUGAGGCAGGAGGAUUGCAAGUUCAAGGCUGGCAUCAGCAAUUUAGUGAGGCCCUAACCAAUUUAGUGAGACCCUGCCUUAA
This 126-nucleotide small RNA is filed under the name Marmota monax (woodchuck). Lineage: Eukaryota; Metazoa; Chordata; Mammalia; Rodentia; Sciuridae. The record is from RNAcentral.